Non-coding RNA from Leptospirillum rubarum, 138 nucleotides. NCBI's taxonomy places the organism in Bacteria, Pseudomonadati, Nitrospirota, Nitrospiria, Nitrospirales, Nitrospiraceae. The record is from Rfam.
CCGGAACUUCCCUGUUCCGUAGCCUAUCGUUGCGUGCGUGGUGAGCAAUCCCGGGUACGAAGCCAACGAGACAACGUAACCCUAUAAGCCGAUCCUGCGAAGGAAAGGCGUGACUGCGAGCAUAACGCGGGAGGGUGC